CAGUCGCCACGGGAAUACGUAGGUGGCAAGCGUUGUCCGGAAUUAUUGGGCGUAAAGGGCUCGCAGGCGGUUUCUUAAGUCUGAUGUGAAGGCCCCCGGCUCAACCGGGGAGGGUCAUUGGAAACUGGGAAACUUGAGUGCAGAAGAGGAGAGUGGAAUUCCACGUGUAGCGGUGAAAUGCGUAGAGAUGUGGAGGAACACCAGUGGCGAAGGCGACUCUCUGGUCUGUAACUGACGCUGAGGAGCGAAAGCGUGGGGAGCGAACAGGAUUAGAUACCCGCGUAGUCCCUGUCUCUUAUAA
Molecule: ribosomal RNA, 301 nt
Filed under: uncultured bacterium
Lineage: Bacteria
Description: partial 16S ribosomal RNA
Rfam family: Bacterial small subunit ribosomal RNA
Source: RNAcentral